AAACAUCCAGAGAUGGGUGCCCCCUUGUGGUCGGUGUACAGGUGGUGCAUGGUUGUCGUCAGCUCGUGUCGUGAGAUGUUGGGUUAAGUCCCGCAACGAGCGCAACCCUUGUUCUGUGUUGCCAGCAUGCCUUUCAGGGUGAUGGGGACUCACAGGAGACUGCCGGGGUCAACUCGGAGAAGGUGGGGACGACGUCAAAUCAUCAUGCCCCUUAUGUCUUGGGCUGCACACGUGCUACAAUGGUCGGUACAAAGGGC
RNAcentral lists this ribosomal RNA (257 nucleotides) under uncultured Actinomycetes bacterium. RNAcentral describes it as "uncultured actinobacterium partial 16S ribosomal RNA". It matches the Rfam family "Bacterial small subunit ribosomal RNA", at positions 994 to 1247 of the family's 1533-position model. The record is from RNAcentral. Lineage: Bacteria; Bacillati; Actinomycetota; Actinomycetes.